GAGGCUCUCGAGUGCAGUAGGUAGCGCAUCAGUCUCAUAAUCUGAAGGUCGUGAGUUCGAUGUUGUUUUCUACUUGUCAGUGUGCUGUCA
This is a non-coding RNA of Cordylochernes scorpioides, 90 nucleotides long. NCBI's taxonomy places the organism in Eukaryota, Metazoa, Arthropoda, Arachnida, Pseudoscorpiones, Chernetidae. The record is from the annotation of a GenBank genome assembly.